CAUGAAUGAAUGCUCUUCCUGGUUUUCCAAACUUGAAUAUUAAGAUGAAAUGUAGUGCUGAAACCAGGGAAACUGAUAAGGUGUAGUAGCUAGGCCUUCAGCUUUUAAGUUUGGUUUCAAGCAAAGGAAGAAGAAACAUAGUAGCCCAGUAGGGCUGAGUCUUACUCCCUACCUAACACAGGCUUGGAGGUGGGGUGAGCUGAGAAAGGAGAUGACAAGGCAUCACAGUGAUGGUGGGCCAAGAUGGUUGAGAUGUCCUGAGGUGCUCUGCAAGGAAAGAAAGAAUGGAUCAAAGAAGUCUAUUUCUGUCUAUCCUUUCUCUGUCUCUCUGUCUCUGUCUGUCUCUCUGAGGGUGUCUUUUGUGUGUCAUAUAAACACGUUCACAUGUGUGUGUGCAUGAAUGUAUGAGUGAGUGUGGGGAGGCCAGAGGUCAAUGUUGGGUGUAUUUGAUUACUCUUUGUGUUAUAUUUUGACACAGGGUCUCUCCCCUGAUCCUGGAGCUCCUUGUUUUGGCUGGGUUGGGUGGCCAAUGAACUCCAAGGAUUAGCCUAUUUCUGCACCCUUCAGCCUCAGUGCUGGGUGACGGAUGCCAUGCCCAGGUUUUAUAUGGAUGCUUGGCAUCCCAACACAGGACAUUGUUGAAGGCUCAAGGGUAUGAAACUCACUUCAGGAAAAUAUGCACAGAAAUGACGACCUGCUCCUUAGCUUUGUCUCUAAAUAGGACAGCUUUGAAUAGAGCAUCUGCUGAGAGUAGGAGGUAUGUCUGCCUUCAGAUGCUCGAUGAAGCCUAUGUGUGCUCUGUUAAACUUGGCCUGAGUGCAAGCCUAGCUGAGUUUUUCUUACUUCCUGCUUUCCUCCAGUGACUGAAGUCUAGUCCCUGCUUGCUCACUUGAAGAGAUGCUAGAAACAGGCACACACAGGUGCUGACCACCUUGCCAGCUCUGCUUCUCUUCCACAUUCAAGCUUCUCCCUGAAUGGAAAACCACAAGAAUGACGAUCUAAUUGAGUCUGCGCUGGCUGGCUCCCUGCCCACUGCUAACUAGUUUGAUUCAGUUUUUCCAUUGUUGAUAACAAAACACAGGCACUGGAGACUGACUUGACUGGAGCAAUGGAGAAAGAAGAAGCAACAGGCACUCAGACUGGGAUCAGGUUUUUACCUCUUCCUGAAUCAUCUAUACUCACUUCAUCAUGGUCUCCUCUGUAGUCUGGCUCCAU
RNAcentral lists this small RNA (1215 nucleotides) under Rattus norvegicus (Norway rat). Its description in RNAcentral is "uncharacterized LOC102548561". Lineage: Eukaryota; Metazoa; Chordata; Mammalia; Rodentia; Muridae. The record is from RNAcentral.